GUCCUCUUCGACGGCGGCCCGGGGCCGCCGGGCGGCCCGCGGUUCGUCCCGCACGGGCCGCGGCGCCGGUUCGAAGCCGGCGGAAUACUCC
This 91-nucleotide transfer RNA is filed under the name Amycolatopsis bullii. Its description in RNAcentral is "tRNA-Pro". The record is from RNAcentral. Lineage: Bacteria; Bacillati; Actinomycetota; Actinomycetes; Pseudonocardiales; Pseudonocardiaceae.